This 105-nucleotide non-coding RNA is filed under the name bovine gut metagenome. Its description in RNAcentral is "FMN riboswitch (RFN element)". It matches the Rfam family "FMN riboswitch aptamer (RFN element)". Rfam says of the family: The RFN element is a highly conserved domain that is found frequently in the 5'-untranslated regions of prokaryotic mRNAs that encode for flavin mononucleotide (FMN) biosynthesis and transport proteins. This element is a metabolite-dependent riboswitch that directly binds FMN in the absence of proteins. The record is from RNAcentral.
UUCUUCAGGGCGGGGUGCAAGUCCCCACCGGCGGUAAAGCCCGCGAGCCGUAUGGCUGAUCCGGUGAAAUUCCGGGGCCGACAGUACAGUCUGGAUGGAAGAAGA